This 5439-nucleotide long non-coding RNA is filed under the name Sus scrofa (pig). Its description in RNAcentral is "lncRNA (ENSSSCG00015071154.1)". Lineage: Eukaryota; Metazoa; Chordata; Mammalia; Artiodactyla; Suidae. The record is from RNAcentral.
ACACUGGAUUUUCUCAGUACAAGGCAUCUCGGCAAAGAACAUGCUCUAAUGUCUCAUUAAUUUUCCAAGCAAAUGCUCUGAGGCUUCAGGUACAGAGCCUGGCACACUGUCAACUUGGAGCCUCUGAGGAUGGAUGUGUGAACCAACAGGAACCACACACACAGGAGAAGAAAUCCCACCUGACAACAUGUGACAGGUCUGCCAGCCGUGUAUGUGACAACAAACUCACAUGGGCUUGUGUACACACACCACAAAACACACUUCUCAAUCCACCUGACUGGGGCAGCUAUGAAAGCUGCAGGGUGGGCCCAGCAGAGGCCUACAGAGAUCACGGGAACGUUCUGCCCACUGGACGUGUUCCACGUGUCAGAGGACUCAAGCCAUGGCCUUCCCGCUUCCACCUGCUUCUUUUCAGCAAAAAGUGCCUUUCACCACAAAACGUCCAUAAGUCUAAGACGAUGACUUUUCCCCACAAGGUAUCAGUGCAGAAAGACAAAAUAUUUCAUGGGGGCUCCAUAACAGGGCCUCUGAGAGGUAUGCAGCGUAAUUUAAGUUUCAUCAUGAACGAUUAUGCUCACAGAAAGCCUGCUGUCAGUCUGUCUUCCCACCUGCAGGGGCUGUAGUUCAAGCAGCAGCUUCAAGGUUUCUAAGACAGUCCUGACUUUUAAAUGUUCCUCCAAGAAGUUCCCGUAUGGUUCAACGGGUUAAGAACCUGACAUAGCGUCCGCAAGGAGGCAGGUUUGCUCCCUCCCGCUCAGUGGGUUAAGGAUCUGGCAUGGCCAUGAGCUGCAGCAUGGGUCACAGAAGUGGCUCAGAUCCUGCAUUGGCCAUGGCUAUGGGGUAGGUCUCAGCUGUCGCUUCAAUUCAACCCCUAGCCUGGGAACUUCCAUAUGCAGCAGAUGUGGCCCUAAAAAGACAAAAAAAAAGUUCCCCUUUCUCCAUCUCCAUGUAAUGUACACCCUGGUUUAGGAUUGAAAUGGUUACUAUAACUCAAAGGUUCUCACUGAUGCAAUCCCAUCCCCCCAGGGGACAUCUGGCAAGGUCUGGGUGAGGUGAGGCAGGGACUGGGGCAGGGGAGGGGUGCUACUGGCACGUGAUGGGUAGACCUCAGAGAUACUCUCAUGACAAAGAAUGUUCUGGUCCCUGAUGUCAGGAGUAUCAAGGGGCUGAAGCCCUACAUAACCAGAAGGCUUAAGAAGGAAAUGCUAAGAAAGCCUUAAAAUCAAACUCCCAGAGUUCCUGUUGUGGUGCAGUAAUAACAAAGCUAACUAGCAACCAUGAGGUCAUGGGUUCAAUCCCUGGCCUUGCUCAGUGGGUUAAGGAUCUGGCUCAGUGGGUUAAGGAUCUGGAGUUGCCAUGAGCUGUGGUAUAGGUAGAAGAUGCAGGUCAGAUCUGGCAUUGGGCCCAGGCAGCUAUAGCUGUGAUUCAACCUCUAGCCUGAAAACUUUCCAUAUGCCACACAUGCAGCCCUAAAAAGAAAAGAAGAAAAAAAAAAAAACCCAGACAUCCUGGAUGGGGGCAAUGGUGAACCAAGCAAAGGCAAGAAGGAGGGGGUGUCCAGGACCAGACCAGUCCCGGGUCAGCAUUUGGUAGCAAAGGACAAAAACUAUCAAAGAAAAGGAUUAGUCGGGGUUCCUCUGUAGACCCCAAAAGAAAGAACAGCAGACUAGACCACAAAACGACCCCCCUUCAAUUUGUACUUUAAAUAAUGUGACCCCCAAAACCAUAUAUAUGACAAAAACAACUGAGAAGGCAGCAUUUGGGGGCCUCAAAAAAAAAAAUCCCCACUCACUGCAAGACACUAAACACAUAAAGUUUGCCAAAACCAACUCGGAAGAGUCAGGGUCCCAUGGACCCCUCACGAAAGGUGAGAACUGCAAGCACAGGGGAACUUCUGUUUCUAAAAAGAACCGCCAAGGCCCUGAGGCCACAUCAGCCCCCUCCCCCCACCCCCAUGUCACACUCAUGCUCACGUGUGCAGGUCACUGGUGGUGGCUCGCUCAACUUGGAAUUUCCAGACUUCUGUUUUCUAAACGUUUGAUCAAGGCUUAAAAAUUAAUAUAGGUUUGAGCUCCUGUUGCAGUGCAGCAGAAACGAAUUCGACUAGAAACCAUGAGGUUUCGGGUUCGAUCCCUGGCCUUGCUUAGUGGAUAAAGGAUGUAGUGUUGCCCUGAGCUAUGGUGUAGGUCACAGACAUGGCUUGGAUCCCACGCUGCUAUGGCUGUGGUGUAGGCCGGCAGCUGUAGCUCCGAUUGGACCCCUAGCCUGGAAACCUCCCUAUGCUGCGGGUGCAGCCCUAAGAAGAAAAAAAAUAAAAUAAAAUAAAUUAAUAUAGGUUAAUGUUGGCAGCAAAUGUGAGGCCUUUAUUUCAAUAGCUUUUUUUUUAGCCUGACCCUAACUGGAACAUGAUUGAGACACAGCCAAGCCCAUGUCUUCACACAGACACCCCCUCUGGCCCUCAGACACCCCGCAUCUCUGAGCACAUAUUACAAGAUGUGACCCAGGGCCUCACCUUUACAUAAGAGCAACUCUGCCUUCUGGGAAUGUAUUUGAAAGUUCACCAAAAUGCUAACGGAAUGACUGGCCUUUCUUCUGCAAACCGCUUAUUUGUUUAUGCUUAUGAAAACACAUCAUUCACAGGUCAGCAGCAUAAGAUGACAGACCUCAACCUACAGUCUGUUCAGAUGCCAGCUCAUUUGCUGUGCAACCUCGGACAAGCUACUCAGCCUCUCUGAGCCUCUGAGCCUCACCACGUAUGUAAACUGCGUUAAUGAUCCAUGUUAGGGGAGAGGGGAGGACACACAAGGAGAAGGAUGGUAACAAGAUGUAAUAGGAAGCAUUUGAGUAAAACGGGCUAAAAUCCUAACUCUCUUCCCCAGGCGCCAAUCCCUGCUCACUGCUCACCACCCACAAACCUCAAUUAGGGGUCCUCAUCCCCAGAUUCUCAGCUCUACGAGAAGAAGGACCUCGUUGGUCUUAUGCACCAAGGCCAAGGCCACGUUUAGGGCAGGGCUCAGCACUCACAGACACUCAGUAACUACAGAUGGAAUGGACAGAUAAUGAAAGUAACCCUGAGCAAAGGGCUCUCUUUCCUUCUCUGUAAGAUGCAAGAGCCAUCUCCCCCACCCCCCGUGAGUAUGAGGAUUAAAUGAACUAGUGGAUGGGAAGGUGCCAGGGCGGGGCCUCCACACGGGUGCUGUUAAGGAGCCAUCCACCCCACACUGGGCUCAGAGGAGACCGCAAACAGAAGUGGGCUUUGCAACGGUCACAUGUGUGCACACACUCAGGUGGCAUUCUCGUUUUCUCCUCCAUGCACAAGAGUAUGCGGAGCCGCACUUCUAAGCACCAGGUGGCCGGCCCCUUGGUCCCCCAGGGAGACACAGGGCGGGGUGGGGCCGGCCAGCUCAGACCAGAACCAAGGCUGCUGGACCACAAGCACCACAGUCACCCAAGAGGUCUGAGGAUCAGCUCCACACACGAAUACGUCCCUGGUUCCCCUGCACCUGUCUCCACCCGGGCCGUCGAGAGGGGGCUCAAAACACAAGGUGGGUCCGCGAAAGGGAGGCAAAGGGAGGGGAAGAAAACCAAACUCUCAAAACUAAAAUUUCCGGUAGCUCCUGACCGGAAAGCUGCUAAAGUCUUACACGAACAGUCCCGAGUUUUCACCUAGCCAGAGACGUCCCACCAUCCUUCUGCGCUAAUUUCUUCUGCUCAGCUCCAAGUGGCAGAAACCAGAAAGGCUUAACUCUCAAAAGACAUCCAAGGUCACCCAUUAGAAUUGAGGGCAAAAGGGAAUAGUGCAGAGAGCAUGGCAAAGGGCAGGUUCAAGGCCAGCUCUGCCACUGCUCACCGAGAGGCCCCCAGACACCCUCAGAACCUCCCCAGGACCCAGUCUCCCCAGCUGUCAAAUUAAGGAGGUUCCAAGGAUACCCUUCUGGAUCAAAAGUGGUCUAUGUGCAUCAGAAGCCAGCUGGAAAAUCCAGUUCAUGCCCUGAGCCUAAAAGCUCUCUCUCCGAACCCCAAGUCCCAUCGCUUGCAGCAGAAAAGGCAAAGCUGGAUGCGUAUCUUCAAAGUGCUGCUCAGAGCCCACCCACUGCCAGGGUAAGAAGCAUUAUCCAGGGAGGAAAGAAGCGGGGUCCCAGAAGGAAAAGGAAAAUUCUGAAAGGUGCUAAGGGAGGGAGUGAGAUCACUGCCAGCAUCUAAGGAAUCCUCCACAGUCUCAGCAACUACUUAAGGAGAACUCACUGCAGCCAGGCCCUGUCAGAGGCUAAGGACGUGGCCGGCAUGGCUUGUCCUAGGCCUCCAGUCACUGCGGAAGUUCAUCUGGCCCUUUCCUCCCGUAUGGCUUUGGUCGAGAAAGGCCUGCCUCUCGACCUUUUGACAGGCAGUAGAAGGAAUAACAGCCUUGGGAGAGUAGUUGAGUUCCAAGGACUUUAUGAUCUUAAAUAAGUCUUCGUUUUCUCAUGUCUGAAAUCAGGUAGAGAACUACCUGACCCAACCUCUUUACCUUCCAGGUUCCGGUAACAGGAACCAAAAUCCCAUUGAUUCGUGUGAAAGCAUUAUGCAAAUGAGCUAUUCCUUUCUCCGCCCACAGCAAGCCAGCCAGUUUGGGAGAUGCCUUAGCACAGGCUGAAAGUCAUGGGCAGCCAUCCUAGCCCCAGCCCCUGGUCCUGGGUCAUUCAAUUCUUCUUAUGCCCCCACCAGCCAUCCUGCCUAACCUCAGAGCAGCUGCGAAUGUGCCCAACCCCACAGCAGCCCCCACUGGAGAUCACGCCUCCCUCACCCUCCCAGGUGGGACCCAGUGAGGAAGUCAACCCUGCGUCCAGCUGGGCGAGGAACCAGUCCAACCUCACUUGAGCAAGAAGCGUAUUUGCCUCAAAACAAACACAAGUGAAAAGCACACGUGUGGACCUCCCUCUCCCAGCGAAGGCCAAGGCCAAGGCGGCCCACAGGCCAGGACAUCAGAUUCCCCCACCUUUCCCACAGGGCCAGUCCCCCAGGUAGAAGAAAGUGAGCCUAGCAUUGAGAAGCCCUCUGGGCUAAGGGAUCUCUUGGUUCUGGAACUUUCCAGAGCAUCGAAGCAACAGAGAGGAUUAAGCUUCCCUCCAGAGGGAGGGGGGCAGGGAUGCACAACUGCCCUUCUGAAUAGGCCCAGGGUUUCUCCCACCUGCCCACCAACAUGGAUCUGAAAGCCACUUACAAGCUAUAAGAUCCUGGGGACUGGCCCUCGCUAAGCCCCCACUUCCUCAACCCACGGGAUGGCUAUGAGGCUGAAGUUUGGAGCUGGCACAGAGCAAGCCCUCAAUGAACGGCAGCUCUGAGUCAACCACCGUUGAGCCCCUUCCCAGAUCCCACCCCCACGGACCUCAAGGUCCAUGUCACUGGACCUCACCAAUUGUGACAUAGCCCUCUUGACAAGGAGGAAAGAAAAAAAAAAAA